RNAcentral lists this ribosomal RNA (469 nucleotides) under uncultured bacterium. RNAcentral describes it as "bacterial SSU rRNA". It matches the Rfam family "Bacterial small subunit ribosomal RNA", at positions 329 to 793 of the family's 1533-position model. The record is from RNAcentral.
AGCCAGACUCCUACGGGAGGCAGCAGUGAGGAAUAUUGGUCAAUGGGCGCUAGCCUGAACCAGCCAAGUAGCGUGAAGGAUGACUGCCCUAUGGGUUGUAAACUUCUUUUAUAUGGGAAUAAAGUGCAGUAUGUAUACUGCUUUGCAUGUACCUUAUGAAUAAGGAUCGGCUAACUACGUGCCAGCAGCCGCGGUCAUACGUAGGAUCCGAGCAUUAUCCGGAGUGACUGGGUGUAAAGAGUUGCGUAGGUGGCAUAAUAAGUAGCUAGUGAAAUCUGGUGGCUCAACCAUUCAGACUAUUAGCUAAACUGUUAAGCUCGAGACCGUUAGGGGUAACUGGAAUUUCUAGUGUAGGAGUGAAAUCCGUAGAUAUUAGAAGGAACACCGAUAGCGUAGGCAGGUUACUGGGACGGUUCUGACACUAAGGCACGAAAGCGUAGGGAGCAAACGGGAUUAGAUACCCCUGUAC